UAUAUUUUAAUGUAGUUAGCAUAUAAAUUUUUGAAAUUUAUAGAAAAAGAUUAAUCUUUUAAAUAUAA
This 68-nucleotide transfer RNA is filed under the name Megacampsomeris sp. 1 YJY-2023a. RNAcentral's name for it is "tRNA-Gln". The record is from RNAcentral. Lineage: Eukaryota; Metazoa; Arthropoda; Insecta; Hymenoptera; Scoliidae.